Equus caballus (horse) is the source of this 461-nucleotide long non-coding RNA. The record is from Ensembl. Lineage: Eukaryota; Metazoa; Chordata; Mammalia; Perissodactyla; Equidae.
AUACCCCAAACACACAGAGACAGGGAGAAAGAGAAAGAGAGAGAGACUUUGGUAAUCCACCUAGAGAGUUGCUGACAAAGCAGCUGAGCAUGGAUGCCCAGGAGGUGAUGUGAUUCUUGUGCCCUUCUGGACGCUCAGUUAUUCACCCACGUUAGGCCUUCACUAACUACAGGAAGGGAGAGAAGAGGGCAGCUUGGAACCCAUGUGAUCAGAAGCCCCUGACCUGUAUGCUGGGUGUGCUCCGUGUAGAAGAGACUCGAGUGCCUAUUUGCCCUAAUUGGGAAAUACCGAAUUAACAUGAGAUUGACUAUUUAACUCUGCUGGAUUUCAAAGAAGCUUUUUCAUGUGAAGAUAUGGGAAAUAAGGAAAAGUACCACAAAUCGUAUCAGCAAAUAUGUUUCUUAAACGAUAGACAUGGAACCAGGAUAAUCCCUCUUUAAAUUAAAAUUCUGGUUUUCUCC